UACAGAGGGGGCAAGCGUUAUUCGGAAUUAUUGGGCGUAAAGGGCGCGUAGGCGGCCUGGCAAGUGGAAGGUGAAAUCCCUCGGCUUAACCGAGGAACUGCCCUCCAAACUGCUUGGCUUGAGUCCGGGAGAGGUGAGUGGAAUUCCCAGUGUAGCGGUGAAAUGCGUAGGUAUUGGGAGGAACACCAGUGGCGAAGGCGGCUCACUGGACCGGAACUGACGCUGAGGCGCGAAAGCGUGGGGAGCAAACAGG
This 253-nucleotide ribosomal RNA is filed under the name uncultured bacterium. RNAcentral describes it as "partial 16S ribosomal RNA". It matches the Rfam family "Bacterial small subunit ribosomal RNA", at positions 524 to 776 of the family's 1533-position model. The record is from RNAcentral.